CUACCUAUGCUGUUAGCCUUGAGAGGCUAG
Molecule: small RNA, 30 nt
Filed under: Bombyx mori (domestic silkworm)
Lineage: Eukaryota; Metazoa; Arthropoda; Insecta; Lepidoptera; Bombycidae
Description: ovarian small RNA-14616
Source: RNAcentral